UGCGAGUAUUCGUUGCUGUAG
Molecule: non-coding RNA, 21 nt
Filed under: Caenorhabditis elegans
Lineage: Eukaryota; Metazoa; Nematoda; Chromadorea; Rhabditida; Rhabditidae
Source: RNAcentral